CCGUGGACGUAGAUUUACUUCAGUAAAUCGAACCACGUAAAUUCUGUGUGUUGUAGUUUUCAUUCUCUACCAGCUUUUACUAACAUCAGAAAUUCGCGGAUCCAUCAAAUACCUCGCUGCGGAGGUUUUGGAGCUUGCUGGAAAUGCGGCGAGGGACAACAAGAAGACUAGGAUCGUUCCAAGGCAUAUUCAGUUGGCUGUACGGAACGACGAGGAGCUGGGGAAGCUUCUGGGAUCUGUGACGAUUGCUAAUGGCGGCGUUUUACCCAACAUUCACCGCACUCUGCUGCCGAAGAAGGCUGGUGAAGGCAAAGGAAAGGGGGAAAUUGGGUCCGCAUCUCAGGAAUUCUAGGAUAAGCACGCCGUGUCUCUAUGAUCGUUGUUGUUGUUCAUACCAUUUGUCCAUUUUCUGGAAAAAAAAACCUCUUUUGUUGAUGUAAUUACCAGUUUUAUCUUAGUCUUAUGUAUUCCGAUUCAACUCCUUUUGAUUAUAUGAAAAUUGUAGUUUCAUUCGA
Long non-coding RNA from Salvia splendens (bonfire salvia), 515 nucleotides. RefSeq lists it as uncharacterized. Lineage: Eukaryota; Viridiplantae; Streptophyta; Magnoliopsida; Lamiales; Lamiaceae. The record is from RefSeq and is a predicted model, not a curated record. The transcript is spliced from 2 exons.